GCGAGUGAAGCGGCAAAAGCUCAAAUUUGAAAUCUAGUACCUCUGGUGCUCGAGUUGUAAUUUGAAGACGGCGACUUUGGGCAUGGCCUUUAUCUAUGUUCCUUGGAACAGGACGUCACAGAGGGUGAGAAUCCCGUCUGAUGAGGAGAUCCAUGCCUGUGUAAAGUGCUGUCGACGAGUCGAGUUGUUUGGGAAUGCAGCUCUAAGUGGGUGGUAAAUUCCAUCUAAAGCUAAAUAUUGGCGAGAGACCGAUAGCGAACAAGUACAGUGAUGGAAAGAUGAAAAGAACUUUGAAAAGAGAGUGAAAAAGUACGUGAAAUUGUUGAAAGGGAAGGGUAUUAGAUCAGACUUGGCGGAGCGUGCUUACCGUAGACUUGUUUUGCGGGCACUGGCGCUGUUGCUGGGCCAGCAUCGAUUGGGAGAUUGGCAGGAUAAUUGCGGUGGAAUGUGGCACUGUUCUUUGAGCGGUGUGUUUAUAGCCAGCGUGGAUACUGCCGGACUCGAUCGAGGACUGCGUCGAUUUAUUGACUAGGAUGCUGGCGUAAUGAUCUAAUAUCGCCC
This 561-nucleotide ribosomal RNA is filed under the name Wickerhamomyces jianshihensis. RNAcentral describes it as "eukaryotic LSU rRNA". It matches the Rfam family "Eukaryotic large subunit ribosomal RNA", at positions 89 to 650 of the family's 3401-position model. The record is from RNAcentral. Lineage: Eukaryota; Fungi; Ascomycota; Saccharomycetes; Phaffomycetales; Wickerhamomycetaceae.